This is a ribosomal RNA of 557 nucleotides. It matches the Rfam family "Bacterial large subunit ribosomal RNA", at positions 2369 to 2925 of the family's 2925-position model.
UUGACUGCGAGACCUACAAGUCGAGCAGGGUCGAAAGACGGACUUAGUGAUCCGGUGGUUCCGCAUGGAAGGGCCAUCGCUCAACGGAUAAAAGCUACCCCGGGGAUAACAGGCUUAUCUCCCCCAAGAGUUCACAUCGACGGGGAGGUUUGGCACCUCGAUGUCGGCUCAUCGCAUCCUGGGGCUGUAGUCGGUCCCAAGGGUUGGGCUGUUCGCCCAUUAAAGCGGUACGCGAGCUGGGUUCAGAACGUCGUGAGACAGUUCGGUCCCUAUCCGUCGUGGGCGUAGGAAAUUUGAGAGGAGCUGUCCUUAGUACGAGAGGACCGGGAUGGACAUACCUCUGGUGUACCAGUUGUCGUGCCAACGGCAUAGCUGGGUAGCUAUGUGUGGACGGGAUAAGUGCUGAAAGCAUCUAAGCAUGAAGCCCCCCUCAAGAUGAGAUUUCCCAACUUCGGUUAUAAGAUCCCUCAAAGAUGAUGAGGUUAAUAGGUUCGAGGUGGAAGCAUGGUGACAUGUGGAGCUGACGAAUACUAAUCGAUCGAAGACUUAAUCAAAUU